RNAcentral lists this ribosomal RNA (468 nucleotides) under uncultured bacterium. RNAcentral describes it as "partial 16S ribosomal RNA". It matches the Rfam family "Bacterial small subunit ribosomal RNA", at positions 28 to 507 of the family's 1533-position model. The record is from RNAcentral.
GACGAACGCUGGCGGCGUGCUUAACACAUGCAAGUCGAACGGAAAGGCCCUGCUUUUGUGGGGUGCUCGAGUGGCGAACGGGUGAGUAACCCGUGAGUAUCCUGCCCUUGACUUUGGGAUAACUUCAGGAAACUGGGGCUAAUACCGGAUAGGAGCUCCUGCUGCAUGGUGGGGGCUGGAAAGUUUCGGCGGUUGGGGAUGGUCUCGCGGCUUAUCGGCUUGUUGGUGGGGUAGUGGCUUACCAAGGCUUUGACGGGUAGCCGGCCUGAGAGGGUGACCGGCCACAUUGGUACUGAGGUACGGCCCAGACGCCUACGGGGGGCAGCGGUGGAGAAUAUUGCACAAUGGGGGGAAGCCUGAUGCAGCGACGCCGCGUGCGGAAUGACGGCCUUCGGGGUGUAAACCGCUUUCGCCUGUGACGAAGCGUGAGUGACGGUAAUGGGUAAAGAAGCACCGGCUAACUACGUG